This 253-nucleotide ribosomal RNA is filed under the name uncultured bacterium. Its description in RNAcentral is "partial 16S ribosomal RNA". It matches the Rfam family "Bacterial small subunit ribosomal RNA", at positions 524 to 776 of the family's 1533-position model. The record is from RNAcentral.
GACGAGCCUCACAAACGUUAUUCGGAAUUACUGGGCUUAAAGGGUGCGUAGGCGGCGCGGAAAGUUGGGUGUGAAAUCCCUCGGCUCAACCGAGGAACUGCGCCCAAAACUACCGUGCUCGAGGAAGAUAGAGGUGAGCGGAACUUACGGUGGAGCGGUGAAAUGCGUUGAUAUCGUAAGGAACACCCGUGGCGAAAGCGGCUCUCUGGGACGGUACUGACGCUGAGACGCGAAAGCGUGGGGAGCAAACAGG